RNAcentral lists this long non-coding RNA (238 nucleotides) under Vigna radiata. RNAcentral describes it as "long non-coding RNA (VRAD_LNC013308)". Lineage: Eukaryota; Viridiplantae; Streptophyta; Magnoliopsida; Fabales; Fabaceae. The record is from RNAcentral.
UGGGAGGAUGACGUGUCACUUUUUUAAGACGUGACAUCAAAGAGUUGAAUACGUGGAAUGGUGUGUCAAAUCCACGUGAGCUCAUAGCAAUAUAAACACAACCCAAUCAAAUCCUCGCACCCUCUUUUUUCCCUUUGCCUUUAAACUUCCUGAUCGAAAUCAUGUCCAAUUCCAACUCCAACCCAAAGGCAGAUCCAAAUACAUCCUACGAAUUAUCCUAACAACUAGAGCUGUCAAA